RNAcentral lists this ribosomal RNA (499 nucleotides) under uncultured bacterium. RNAcentral describes it as "partial 16S ribosomal RNA". It matches the Rfam family "Bacterial small subunit ribosomal RNA", at positions 28 to 507 of the family's 1533-position model. The record is from RNAcentral.
GACGAACGCUGGCGGCGUGCCUAAUACAUGCAAGUCGAGCGGACCGAACAGGAGCUUGCUCUUGUUCGGUUAGCGGCGGACGGGUGAGUAACACGUGGGUAACCUGCCCGUAAGACCGGGAUAACUCCGGGAAACCGGAGCUAAUACCGGAUAACACCGAAGACCGCAUGGUCUUUGGUUGAAAGGCGGCUUCGGCUGCCACUUACGGAUGGGCCCGCGGCGCAUUUGCUAGUUGGUGAGGUAACGGCUCACCAAGGCGACGAUGCGUAGCCGGCCUGAGAGGGUGACCGGCCACACUGGGACUGAGACACGGCCCAGACUCCUACGGGAGGCAGCAGUAGGGAAUCUUCCGCAAUGGACGAAAGUCUGACGGAGCGACGCCGCGUGAGCGAAGAAGGUCUUCGGAUCGUAAAGCUCUGUUGUUAGGGAAGAAGAAGCGUCGUUCGAACAGGGCGGCGCGGUGACGGUACCUAACGAGAAAGCCCCGGCUAACUACGUG